GCCCCGGUAGCUCAGUCGGAUAGAGCGACGGCCUCCUAAGCCGUAGGUCGCAGGUUCGAAUCCUGCUCGGGGCACCA
RNAcentral lists this transfer RNA (77 nucleotides) under Gammaproteobacteria bacterium. RNAcentral describes it as "tRNA-Arg". It matches the Rfam family "tRNA". From Rfam's summary of the family: Transfer RNA (tRNA) molecules are approximately 80 nucleotides in length. Their secondary structure includes four short double-helical elements and three loops (D, anti-codon, and T loops). Further hydrogen bonds mediate the characteristic L-shaped molecular structure. tRNAs have two regions of fundamental functional importance: the anti-codon, which is responsible for specific mRNA codon recognition, and the 3' end, to which the tRNAs corresponding amino acid is attached (by aminoacyl-tRNA synthetases). tRNAs cope with the degeneracy of the genetic code in two manners: having more than one tRNA (with a specific anti-codon) for a particular amino acid; and 'wobble' base-pairing, i.e. permitting non-standard base-pairing at the 3rd anti-codon position. The record is from RNAcentral. Lineage: Bacteria; Pseudomonadati; Pseudomonadota; Gammaproteobacteria.